RNAcentral lists this ribosomal RNA (468 nucleotides) under uncultured bacterium. RNAcentral describes it as "partial 16S ribosomal RNA". It matches the Rfam family "Bacterial small subunit ribosomal RNA", at positions 28 to 507 of the family's 1533-position model. The record is from RNAcentral.
GACGAACGCUGGCGGCGUGCUUAACACAUGCAAGUCGAACGGAAAGGCCCUGCUUUUGUGGGGUGCUCGAGUGGCGAACGGGUGAGUAACACGUGAGUAACCUGCCCUUGACUUUGGGAUAACUUCAGGAAACUGGGGCUAAUACCGGAUAGGAGCUCCUGCUGCAUGGUGGGGGUUGGAAAGUUUCGGCGGUUGGGGAUGGACUCGCGGCUUAUCAGCUUGUUGGUGGGGUAGUGUCUUACCAAGGCUUUGACGGGUAGCCGGCCUGAGAGGGUGACCGGCCACAUUGGGGCUGAGAUACGGCCCAGACUCCUACGGGAGGCAGCAGUGGGGAAUAUUGCACAAUGGGCGGAAGCCUGAUGCAGCAACGCCGCGUGCGGGAUGACGGCCUUCGGGUUGUAAACCGCUUUCGCCUGUGACGAAGCGUGAGUGACGGUAAUGGGUAAAGAAGCACCGGCUAACUACGUG